RNAcentral lists this ribosomal RNA (253 nucleotides) under uncultured bacterium. Its description in RNAcentral is "partial 16S ribosomal RNA". It matches the Rfam family "Bacterial small subunit ribosomal RNA", at positions 524 to 776 of the family's 1533-position model. The record is from RNAcentral.
UACGAAGGGGGCUAGCGUUGCUCGGAAUCACUGGGCGUAAAGCGCACGUAGGCGGAUUGUUAAGUCAGGGGUGAAAGCCUGGAGCUCAACUCCAGAACUGCCCUUGAUACUGGCAAUCUCGAGUCCGGAAGAGGUAAGUGGAACUCCGAGUGUAGAGGUGAAAUUCGUAGAUAUUCGGAAGAACACCAGUGGCGAAGGCGGCUUACUGGUCCGGUACUGACGCUGAGAUGCGAAAGCGUGGGGAGCAAACAGG